RNAcentral lists this long non-coding RNA (1082 nucleotides) under Felis catus (domestic cat). Its description in RNAcentral is "lncRNA (ENSFCAG00000040575.2)". The record is from RNAcentral. Lineage: Eukaryota; Metazoa; Chordata; Mammalia; Carnivora; Felidae.
ACAGGGUGCCGUGCAGAGAGCACUGGUUGUUGACAGUGGGAGGUGUAAGCCCCUGGAGUCGCAGCGGAAGUGCCCACGGGGAGGUGGCAUUUAAGUGGAGAGCCAUAAACUAAAAGGGAGGCGGCGCUGGGAGGAGCCGGGAGACUCACAAAUGGACAGCAGCCUGCAGGGGCCCACCAGGGGCCCCACGAGGGUGUGAGAUGGCCCCCUAGGGAUCAGAUCUGUGGCGUGGAGAAGGAACGAGACAACUUCCCUCCACCACAAGGCGGGGCUUCCAGAAGAUGGACAGGCAUCUACUUCCACCGGUCACCUUGAGGAUAAUCACGGUGUAAUCAGAAAGCUGAAGCAACAAGAGACCUCAACCGCACUACCUGGCCGGUAACACAGGAGCUGUCUCAGGAAGAAAGAGAAGGCACGCAGCAAGUGGUGACGGUUAAGAGGAUCCGCCACAGUGCUCGCUACAGGCAAGCUGCCCACGAUGAUGACGGCGGCUACACAGAGCAGCAAGGUCAUUCCCAGCCAAGGAAACACCCAUUGGCCACGGCCUUGACCAACGCAGGGAAGGAAUAUAGAGAGCCUUGGAUCCCAAACACUGGUUCCUGGGACAGUCAAUGUAAUAGGUGGGGAAGGACAGGAACAAGCAAAGAACACCAAGAAGGAGCAACCCAAGGAGGUAGGAGAAAACUCACGAAAGUGGGGUAUCCGGAACACCAGGUGAAGAAAGCAUUUUGGGAAGGAUGCUUUCAAUGGUGUUGAUAAGUCAUGGAGGGUGAGGACUGACUGAGAAUGUGCCCUUGGUUUGGCAACAUGGAAGUCAUUGCUUUGACAAGAGCAGUUUCAUUGAAAUGUUGAUGGAAUGCGUCCAUGUAUAGUGGUCACAGAUACAGAGUGAGGGCGGAUUCUGCUGAUACCUUCCUGGUGGCAAUAAGUAAUCACAGUUUCUGAAAAGUGAGAUAUAAAACUGCAUUUAAGCUAUGUUUUUAAUCGACACAGCGUUAUACUCCCAAAUAAUAAUGGCAGUCAUCAUUAAGCACUAACUAAGCCAUACUCAGGACCAGGUGCUUUGGGUACAUACAUUUUUU